AAGAGAAAAUGCAGCCUUGUCCAACUUCAGUAUCCCUUAUGCACCACUUGCUUAUUUACCUUAUUCCUUUCCUUGUCUACACAUAGGCUGUAUGGCUGAUUAAGUAAAGCAAGUGGAGAGCCUGAGGAUGCAGAUCUAUAAAUCUGAAAGAGCAGCUGAGAUUACUGAACAGUCACUUGUCCUUAGCUGCUGACACUAGAAAUACUGUUGGACACCAAAGAUUUGAGAUGAAAUCCUGAUGUGUCAGUGCCCUACCCAGCCUGGAAAGGACUAUACUUCCCUGGAUCUCUUCACAGGUAAGCACACGGGGCAGGGGUCCUUCUCAGUCCCCAUCGUGCCAUACUCUGCAGAGGAGCCGUUAAGCUACUUCCCAAGUUCAGUGUAUGAAGUGUUAAAGGGAGAGAAAUUGCAGACUUCCCCCUCUGCUUUCAGGAGCUUUCCAUC
This is a long non-coding RNA of Pezoporus flaviventris, 444 nucleotides long. RefSeq lists it as uncharacterized. NCBI's taxonomy places the organism in Eukaryota, Metazoa, Chordata, Aves, Psittaciformes, Psittacidae. The record is from RefSeq and is a predicted model, not a curated record. The transcript is spliced from 3 exons.